Molecule: ribosomal RNA, 199 nt
Filed under: uncultured Nevskia sp.
Lineage: Bacteria; Pseudomonadati; Pseudomonadota; Gammaproteobacteria; Nevskiales; Nevskiaceae
Description: partial 16S ribosomal RNA
Rfam family: Bacterial small subunit ribosomal RNA
Source: RNAcentral
UAUUCUUACGGGAGGCAGCAGUGGGGAAUAUUGGACAAUGGGCGAAAGCCUGAUCCAGCAAUACCGCGUGUGUGAAGAAGGCCUUCGGGUUGUAAAGCACUUUAAGUUGGGAAGAAUAGACUUCGAUUAAUACUUGAAGUCUUGACGGUACCGACAGAAUAAGCACCGGCUAACUCUGUGCCAGCAGCCGCAGUAAUAC